This 1968-nucleotide long non-coding RNA is filed under the name Mytilus galloprovincialis (Mediterranean mussel). The record is from RNAcentral. Lineage: Eukaryota; Metazoa; Mollusca; Bivalvia; Mytilida; Mytilidae.
UUUUUUAGGUAUCGAUAAAAGACCUUUUAGCACCAGGUGGUACUAUCGCUCUGGACAACGCAUUACACUAUGGAAAACCAUAUUUAAAAGACUGUCCUGACGAUGAACCAAUCAAAAGGUUUAACGAUAUGCUAAUGACCAGGAAUGAUGUUUAUCAGGUAUGUUUUCAUUAGUUAAUUGGGAAACGAGCAAAAGUUGCCAUUAAUAUUUGAAUAAAUUAUCAUGUACCAAUAAUGCAUUUACCUGUAUAUAGCUAUGUAUGCAGAAAAUGGAUGCUUUAAGUUAAAUGAAGCCCCAGUCACAGUGUCACGUUUUACUACGUUUUAAAAUGCUAUGUUUCAACCACUUUUUGAAUAAAAAUGUCCCGUUAUUUUAAAAGCUAGGUUUUACUAGGUUUGUGCUACGUCCUUUUCAUGUUUUGCUACGUAUUAGAACGUGUAGAUCCACGUUUCCACCACGCAUUGAUACGUUUCGACAACUAAUUAAAAUGUAGCACGUUUGUUACGUUCCGCUAAGCUUCGAUACGUAUUUACUAGGUUUCUACUUCGUUUUAAUUUACGCUACAUUUGUUGUUGAAUUUUCAAAACAUACGGGACAGGUCCCGUUUUGAACAAAGGAUCACUACGUUUCAAUACGCUUUUUAACGUAUAUUCCCGUUUCGCUACGCUUUCAAAACAUAGUAAAACGUAGCUCUUGAACCGUGACAGUGUGACUGGGGCUUUAGAGAAAUGUUAUAAUAACAAUCUAUAAGCUAUCUGUGACUAUUAAAUGAUCUUCAAAUUAGAAGCAACGGUAGUUUAUCGGUGUUAUAAUCUCCUUAACACUAAACAAACAACAACACCGACGGAAAUGCAAGAACUCCAUAAAAAAAAAUAUCAAGGAGAGUCAACAGGGUAAAUGUCUCCUGGUGAGCAUGCAUUUACACGGAAUUAAAGUUAAUAGGUGUUAACACUUGUUUCGAAAAUUUGACCUAUUUAGAGUGCAUUUCUUUCUCAAACAAACGAUGCAAACGGCUAAGCACGCACAUGUUUUGAUCAUUUCUUUCAAACAUUUUAUAUAAACUUUGACAAACUAUGCACACGUUAGAAAUGCGUCUGCAGUUUGUCGUUUGUUAGUAUAAACGCUACAUUUGUUUCUAACUUCAACCUGAUUAAACGAAGUAUUUGUUUCUGUGUUUGUUAAAAGUCUGUUUACCAACAACAUGUGAAUGCAUUAUUGAAAGUUCAAACAGGGUCAGUAAAGACUUGUUAAACGAUGUAUUUGUUUCUACUUUUGUAGCGUUUGGAAAACAACAACAAACGCGACAGAGCAUACACAAAAUUUUGGUUAGAAAGAAAUGCGGCCAUAGUCAAAUGCAUAUUUCUUUUGUUUAUGUUAACAAACAGUAACAAUGACAAGUGCUUACUGUGACUAAGAAAGUCAUAUACAACAUUUUACAGGAACGUGUUAUAUAUAUAUUGUUUAAAUGUAAUCAGGAAUUGUUAGAGUAAAUGUUUUUUAAAUGAAAAUUGGUUUGUUAUAUCAAAGAGUUGGGGUUUUUUUUUUUUUAGAUAAACUGGGUGCAUUCUGAAUAAAUUCGUAUGUCGUUGAUAAUCUUUAAUUUUACUUUUAGUCUGCACUGCAUAGAAAUUCAAAUUUAACCACGUAUGAUAAAAACGUAGACUAAGUGUUACAGUAGAUGGACUUAAAUAAUUCUAACUAAAAAAAAAACAAAUAUGUUAUAGGUGUUAAUGCCAGUGAGAGAUGGAAUAAUGCUUGUAAGGAGAAAGGAAGAUAUGAACGGAUGAGGAUUCUAAACGUCAGAUGUGAAGGAAUUGAUUAAGACCAUAUAGUGUCAUGAUAAUUUAUACUCGAAUAACCAUUUUUAAUUUUGAUAUCACAUAUAUUUGUUCUAGUUUUAAUUGAUAAUCACGAACAUAAAUUUAGCUGUAUCUUGAGGAGUAAUUUAUUUUUAUUCUACAACAUUUG